RNAcentral lists this ribosomal RNA (274 nucleotides) under uncultured bacterium. RNAcentral describes it as "partial 16S ribosomal RNA". It matches the Rfam family "Bacterial small subunit ribosomal RNA", at positions 523 to 796 of the family's 1533-position model. The record is from RNAcentral.
AUACGGGGGGAACAAGCGUUGUUCGGAUUCACUGGGCGUAAAGAGCACGUAGGCGGAAGGAUAAGUCAGAUGUGAAAUCCCGGGGCUCAACCGCGGGUCUGCAUUUGAUACUGUCUUUCUUGAGUACGAGAGAGGUUGGCGGAAUUCCUGGUGUAGCGGUGAAAUGCGUAGAUAUCAGGAAGAACACCGGUGGCGAAGGCGGCCAUCUGGCUCGAUACUGACGCUGAGGUGCGAAGGCUGGGGGAGCAAACAGGAUUAGAAACCCGGGUAGUCC